UGGACCAAUACAUAAACACAGUGAAAACGGACUAAUACACAAACACAGGCCAUCUUUAGGUGUGGGUCAUUCCAGGGUUUUAUGGACUCAUUUUAUUUGUUCAGUGUUUGCUGAUUUGCAUCAGUCUCUACCUAUGGGUGUGUCCAGGCUGAGACAGAGCUGGGACUGACUGAUUCUUCUGGGGCUAGACCUAGUUUCCUUCCUCUCCUAUCCCCAGCAGUUGUCUCUGUAGGGGUGGAGGGAUUUUCUUUUUUUUUGUGGUUGUGUAUGGAGAGAAAUGGUUUUGGAGUUUUGUUUUGUUUUGUUUUGUUUUGUUUUCUGGAGCACAUAGGUGGGACAAGAGGGGAGACCCCACCUGGCCUGAAGAAUUGGAUUUUGGCCCUGGUGAAAGAGGAAAUGGAGCAGAGACUGCCUGAAUGAAGUUAAGAAAAUGCCUGGGGAGACUCUGAGCUGAAGGAGGCGGCCCAUGUUGGGAUCCAGGGCCAAUAUAGCAUCAGAUGCAUCGAACUCACAGAACAUCGCUCCCCAGCUGCCGGCCCACAGUUCUGAGAGUGCCUGAAUAGAAAACCACUCAUUUCCCUUCGCAAUAGAGGCGCCCAAAGCAGAUAUGUCAAUAUAUUCCAAUUUAGCCGAGGGAAGCCAGAACAUGGAUGUUGUUGCCAAGGAAACCACCUCCUUCCUCCUGUGUGCCGUGCAUACGUGUAUCACUUCAUCUCUCUGCUCUCCAAGCUGGAAUCCAGAUCUGACAUGGAUCUCCUGCCCCAGUUCUGAAGUCUACCUGGUGCCCCAGCCGAACCUGCCCUGGCUCCUGGGUGGGGUAUGGACAUCUGUGGUAUCCCUCCCUAACACCCCACCAAGCUGGGCUGCAAGACAGAUUAU
RNAcentral lists this long non-coding RNA (879 nucleotides) under Rhinopithecus bieti (black snub-nosed monkey). RNAcentral's name for it is "lncRNA (ENSRBIG00000046477.1)". Lineage: Eukaryota; Metazoa; Chordata; Mammalia; Primates; Cercopithecidae. The record is from RNAcentral.